GAACAGGAAGUUCCGGGAAGGCGCCCACCAUUCUUCAGUAUAAAGAAAUUGCCAGAACGAUGCGGUGUAGAAGAUAAUCUUCGUGUCCGUUUCUAUUUAUUACUACAGAUUAACCAUGAGGCCGGUAACAUCAACAGUAAAGGACAAACCCAGCCUGCCUCUCUCCCUCCACACUGAGUCCAAGCCUACAGUCACUGGGUCCUGAUUGUGACAGUGGAGCCCAGUUUGCACUGCACGAUCCAGAGAUGGCAUCAGUGAAGCUGGAAGACUGUAAUCAAACUCUGGAGCUGAAUGUCAACAUUAAAGAUGAAGAAGAGGAGGAGAAGAUUGGGACAUCUGUUUCUCAUGCAGGAUUAUGCCCCAUGCCACAAGGCUUGUCCAGGAAUGGUUCCAUGGAAACCGUGACAGGGAAUUCAGCUUACUGCAGUGGCCUGCCGAGUCACCAGAUCUCAAUCCAAUUGUGCAUCUGUGGGAGGCUUUGGAACGAGCUAUUCGGAGUAGAUAUCCACUCCCAGCCAACCUGACACAACUGUGGGAAGCAUUGGAGUCAUCGUGGCUCAGCAUCCCUGUGGGAGUCCAUGGCCUGACGAAUUGAGGCUGUUCUGAGGACAAAGGGGAUUGCAACUCAAUAUUAGGAAGGUGUUCCUAAUGUUUUGUAUACUCAGUGCCAAAGAAAAUUAUUCAGACUCCUGGACUUUUUCCACAUUUUGUUACAAAAAAUCCUCAAUCUACACACAAUAGCCCAUAAUGACAAAUUGAAAACAGUUUUUAGAUUUUUUGGGAAAAUAAUAAAUAAGGAUUCAUACUGUUUACUAUGGAGACUCAAUUGUUCUCAGAUGCAUCCUGUUUCCAUUAAGUAUCCUUGUGAUGUUUCAACAACUUGAUUUGGAGUCCACUUUGUAAAUGUAAUUCAAACAGGCACACACCUGCCUAUAUAAGGUCCCACAGUUGACAGUGCAUGUCAGAGCAUAGUGAAGCAUGGUGGUGACAGCAUCAUGCUGUAGGUAUGUUUUUCAA
This is a non-coding RNA of Salmo salar (Atlantic salmon), 1017 nucleotides long. The record is from RefSeq and is a predicted model, not a curated record. NCBI's taxonomy places the organism in Eukaryota, Metazoa, Chordata, Actinopteri, Salmoniformes, Salmonidae.